UUUUGGCGCAAAGUUAAAAUUUUCAGAAAAUUCAAGCGCCUUUUUUCAUUGUUGUGAAUUUUAACUUAACAAAAAGAGAAAAAGAAGCACUCUUCUUAUGGCUUAGGUUUUCCCCAAAUCAAAUACUCCCAAAGGUUAGCUAUUUCCCCAAAUCAAAUGCUCCCAGAACCCCCAAAUUGCCGGCAAUGUCCCCUCAACGUACUCCGAGUAGAUAUUUUUUUCUUUAUGUUAUGUAGUAGUAUAAUUUUUCAUAUACGUCAGAGAGAGUGAGACGACUAACAGUGGCUGCUCUCAUCAGCGCCGUAGAGAAUAUUUAGCUGAGAAUCAGAAGACCGGUAAUGAUUGGAAUUAUCUGCAAAGCUUGUUUGUGAACAGCAUUUUUAGACCUUUGUUGCCACCAGUGAUUGAGCCACCCACGAAUAGCCCAAGGAUCGGGAGAGUUAGCUUACUUCACCUUGAAUGGAAGAUAAUGGGGUGGCAGCAACUCGAAUCAGCAAGCAAAUCUUUUGUACAAUUUUUUUUAUGUUUAUUUGAUGUGCAACUAUAUAUUUUUAUGAAUUUAAGGUGUAAUGUUCAAAUUACCAUACACGAGUUCUCAUUCCUUUAGUUUGAUAUGAUUUUGAAUUUGUGAUGCUUGUUACGACA
Molecule: non-coding RNA, 645 nt
Organism: Nicotiana tabacum (common tobacco)
Lineage: Eukaryota; Viridiplantae; Streptophyta; Magnoliopsida; Solanales; Solanaceae
Source: RefSeq, a predicted model, not a curated record